This 471-nucleotide long non-coding RNA is filed under the name Panax ginseng (ginseng). RNAcentral describes it as "long non-coding RNA (PGIN_LNC014502)". Lineage: Eukaryota; Viridiplantae; Streptophyta; Magnoliopsida; Apiales; Araliaceae. The record is from RNAcentral.
CGUACCCACUACCCACCAUCUCCUUCCGCCUCUUUCUUCCUCCCUCUUCCAACUCUCGGCCCACCAUCUCUCCUUUCGUCUCCUCUUUCCUCCCUCUUCCAACUUUCUGUAUUUGUUUGAACCCUAUCGAAACUCCCUUUUUGAUCUAUGCUUUUACAAAGUCUGGGUUGCUAGAUUUGUUGUUCUUGUGUGAUUAGUAGAGGGUAAUUGUGUACUUGAUAAAGGAGUUAUGAUCUGAGGGGUGAUUGUAUUUUGGUUGGGGGUUACGGAUCUUGAUGGUUAUGUGUUGGUGUUAGUUUUGGAAGGAGGUUUCUCCUGAUCUGAGUUUCUUUUUCAGAUCUUUUGUGGAGCUUGCCUAAAUCUGGGUUUGGCUCUACUCAUCUCCGGUGGUUUUAUGGAUUCUGGAUUGGUCCAUGCCGAUCAGGGUUCAUGCUACACCUACUGCCUAUCAUGUUCAUGCUCUGAUUUGGG